CCUAGGUAUUGAGCCUGAGCCAGUGCGUUUCUGUAGUAAAUAUGUGUGAAUGUGCUGAGUGUUUGAGUAUUGAUUCAUUUAUGUACCUGUUUGGCUUUUGCUGUGCAGGGCUUUGUACUUUGCAGCUUUAGAGCCAAGCUGGCUUUCACAGAAGCCAGUGUCAGAAUGUACCAGAUUGUACAGCGUGAAUCAUCUGGCUCAAUGGCCUCUGGGGAGGGGGGCUGGCUUUGUACAGCACGGCAAGGAGUAGCCACAAAGACACCGGUGGAGGGGAAGAGCCCAGGGGGUGAGCGGGCUGCACAGGUGGCUCUACUGCUUUAGCUGAUGAAAUAAGAAGGCGCCUCAGAGACAUCUAUGCUUUGCUGGACUGUCUUCUUUCCUUCAGGAGCCCCAGGAUGUAAACACGUAAACGACUAUUCAAGGCCAGGUUCCCUGAGAGCCUCAACUGGAGUUCCUCUCCCUGGGGAAGUGAUGAUAAUGACUUUUUCUUUGGCAAAUCCCUUUCUAUCCUUAUCUCCUUGCAGGAUUGUACAACCCUUCUGUCCAGUGGCCCUGGGAACUUCUAGGACUUCCUGAGCCUGUUUUUGCCUAUUUAUUGUGCUGUUUCCUCUGGAAGCUGCUUCAACACUUAAUCUGGUGAAUGCUGGGGUCAAAGGAAGUGCGUAGACUUGACCCAGGCUCUGCAUCCCUCCUCUAGUGCCCCACGCUCUCUCUGGAUCCUAGUCAUACCAGCCAUCUCCAGGCCCUCCAGGAUCCUUUGCUUCUGCCCUCCUCAUAAGGAUAGAGUAAAGGGGCAAAGUAGGUGAUUAAAUAGUUAAUCCCACUAGGGUAUUGUAAGUAGAAAAAAAAAAUAACUUACAGGUUAUUGAUUUACAUUAAUGGUUAGUAAAUUAAUGGUUACUCAGGAAAGCAGGUUUGCUUAACUACAAAACCAGGCAGGCCUGCUUAGCAACAAAACCAUACAACAGAAACAUGAGACAUGACCCCAAACAAUAAAACAGUGGUGGCUUAAGACCCA
Long non-coding RNA from Bos indicus x Bos taurus (hybrid cattle), 1018 nucleotides. The record is from Ensembl. Lineage: Eukaryota; Metazoa; Chordata; Mammalia; Artiodactyla; Bovidae.